ACUUUAAUUGAAGAGUUUGAUCAUGGCUCAGAUUGAACGCUGGCGGCAGGCCUAACACAUGCAAGUCGAGCGGUAACAUUUCAAAAGCUUGCUUUUGAAGAUGACGAGCGGCGGACGGGUGAGUAAUGCCUGGGAAUUUGCCCAUUUGUGGGGGAUAACAGUUGGAAACGACUGCUAAUACCGCAUACGCCCUACGGG
This 198-nucleotide ribosomal RNA is filed under the name Shewanella algae. RNAcentral describes it as "partial 16S ribosomal RNA". It matches the Rfam family "Bacterial small subunit ribosomal RNA", at positions 1 to 186 of the family's 1533-position model. Lineage: Bacteria; Pseudomonadati; Pseudomonadota; Gammaproteobacteria; Alteromonadales; Shewanellaceae. The record is from RNAcentral.